UAGAGAGCGCGGUGGAACUCGCUGCUUAGUGUGACUGAGGCAUGGGAACUGCGUGGGACUUCUGGACCAUCUCUGGCUCCAAGAGGAUCUGCUCCUACGUGGCCUCCACUGAUGUUGAAGUAAAUUGAAGGAUGAACAGCAUCUUGGAUGAAAAAUCAUGAUCCAGCAUUCCAGUGGCUCAGUGUUGAGGACUCAGCAAAUGGAAAAGACCAAUGGGACACCCAUGUUUCACCUGAGAAACUUCAUAGCACAAAGAUCGCUACCUUCAGGAGGUGGGAUGGAC
Molecule: long non-coding RNA, 283 nt
Organism: Thalassophryne amazonica
Lineage: Eukaryota; Metazoa; Chordata; Actinopteri; Batrachoidiformes; Batrachoididae
Exons: 3
Source: RefSeq, a predicted model, not a curated record